RNAcentral lists this ribosomal RNA (435 nucleotides) under uncultured bacterium. RNAcentral's name for it is "partial 16S ribosomal RNA". It matches the Rfam family "Bacterial small subunit ribosomal RNA", at positions 29 to 507 of the family's 1533-position model. The record is from RNAcentral.
AACGAACGCUGGCGGCAUGCCUAACACAUGCAAGUCGAACGAUUGCCUUCGGGUGUUAGUGGCGCACGGGUGCGUAACGCGUGGGAAUCUGCCCUUAGGUUCGGAAUAACAGCUGGAAACGGCUGCUAAUACCGGAUGAUAUCGCGAGAUCAAAGAUUUAUCGCCUGAGGAUGAGCCCGCGUUGGAUUAGGUAGUUGGUGGGGUAAAGGCCUACCAAGCCGACGAUCCAUAGCUGGUCUGAGAGGAUGAUCAGCCACACUGGGACUGAGACGCGGCCCAGACUCCUACGGGAGGCAGCAGUGGGGAAUAUUGGACAAUGGGCGCAAGCCUGAUCCAGCAAUGCCGCGUGAGUGAUGAAGGCCGUAGGGUUGUAAAGCUCUUUUACCCGGGAAGAUAAUGACGGUACCGGGAGAAUAAGCCCCGGCUAACUCCGUG